UACUUGAUGGCGACCGGCAAACGGGUGAGGAACACGUACACAACCUUCCUUCAAGCGGGGAAUAGCCCAGAGAAAUUUGGAUUAAUACCCCAUAAUAUAUUUGAUAAGGCAUCUUAUUAAUAUUAAAGCUUCGGCACUUGAUGAUGGGUGUGCGGCUGAUUAGAUAGUUGGCGGGGUAACGGCCCACCAAGUCUACGAUCAGUAGCUGAUGUGAGAGCAUGAUCAGCCACACGGGCACUGAGACACGGGCCCGACUCCUACGGGAGGCAGCAGUAAGGAUAUUGGACAAUGGACGAAAGUCUGAUCCAGCCAUGCCGCGUGAAGGAUUAAGGUCCUCUGGAUUGUAAACUUCUUUUAUAUGGGACGAAAAAAGGGCAUUCUUGUUCACUUGACGGUACCAUAUGAAUAAGCACCGGCUAACUCCGUG
Molecule: ribosomal RNA, 427 nt
Filed under: uncultured bacterium
Lineage: Bacteria
Description: bacterial SSU rRNA
Rfam family: Bacterial small subunit ribosomal RNA
Source: RNAcentral